GACGAACGCUGGCGGCGUGCUUAACACAUGCAAGUCGAACGGAAAGGCCCUGCUUUUGUGGGGUGCUCGAGUGGCGAACGGGUGAGUAACACGUGAGUAACCUGCCCUUGACUUUGGGAUAACUUCAGGAAACUGGGGCUAAUACCGGAUAGGAGCUCCUGCUGCAUGGUGGGGGUUGGAAAGUUUCGGCGGUUGGGGAUGGACUCGCGGCUUAUCAGCUUGUUGGUGGGGUAGUGGCUUACCAAGGCUUUGACGGGUAGCCGGCCUGAGAGGGUGACCGGCGACAUUGGGACUGAGAUACGGCCCAGACGCCUACGGGAGGCAGCAGUGGGGAAUAUUGCACAAUGGGCGGAAGCCUGAUGCAGCAACGCCGCGUGCGGGAUGACGGCCUUCGGGUUGUAAACCGCUUUCGCCUGUGACGAAGCGUGAGUGACGGUAAUGGGUAAAGAAGCACCGCCUAACUACGUG
Molecule: ribosomal RNA, 468 nt
Filed under: uncultured bacterium
Lineage: Bacteria
Description: partial 16S ribosomal RNA
Rfam family: Bacterial small subunit ribosomal RNA
Source: RNAcentral